This 76-nucleotide transfer RNA is filed under the name Wolbachia pipientis. RNAcentral's name for it is "tRNA-Ala". It matches the Rfam family "tRNA". Rfam says of the family: Transfer RNA (tRNA) molecules are approximately 80 nucleotides in length. Their secondary structure includes four short double-helical elements and three loops (D, anti-codon, and T loops). Further hydrogen bonds mediate the characteristic L-shaped molecular structure. tRNAs have two regions of fundamental functional importance: the anti-codon, which is responsible for specific mRNA codon recognition, and the 3' end, to which the tRNAs corresponding amino acid is attached (by aminoacyl-tRNA synthetases). tRNAs cope with the degeneracy of the genetic code in two manners: having more than one tRNA (with a specific anti-codon) for a particular amino acid; and 'wobble' base-pairing, i.e. permitting non-standard base-pairing at the 3rd anti-codon position. Lineage: Bacteria; Pseudomonadati; Pseudomonadota; Alphaproteobacteria; Rickettsiales; Anaplasmataceae. The record is from RNAcentral.
GGGGCUAUAGCUCAGCUGGGAGAGCGCCUGCUUUGCACGCAGGAGGUCAGCGGUUCGAUCCCGCUUGCCUCCACCA